Molecule: ribosomal RNA, 381 nt
Filed under: Lepilemur ruficaudatus (red-tailed sportive lemur)
Lineage: Eukaryota; Metazoa; Chordata; Mammalia; Primates; Lepilemuridae
Description: partial 12S ribosomal RNA
Rfam family: Bacterial small subunit ribosomal RNA
Source: RNAcentral
AAACUCAAAUGAUUAAUUAACAAAAUCACUCGCCAGAAUACUACAAGCAACAGCUUAAAAUUCAAAGGACUUGGCGGUGCUUCAAUCCCCUCUAGAGGAGCCUGUUCUACAAUCGAUAAACCCCGAUAAACCUCACCACCCCUUGCUAAUUCAACCUAUAUACCGCCAUCCCCAGCAAACCCUACCAAGGUCACAAAGUAAGCACAAGCAUACAACAUAAAAACGUUAGGUCAAGGUGUAGUCCAUGGAGUGGAAAGAAAUGGGCUACAUUUUCUAAUAACAGAAAAAUAUCUCACCACAACCCCUAUGAAAUCUAGGGGCCAAAGGAGGAUUUAGUAGUAAACCGAGAAUAGAGAGCUCGAUUGAAUAAGGCCAUGAAGC